CAGCCGCCGCGGGAAUACGAGGGGGGCAAGCGUUGUUCGGAAUUAUUGGGCGUAAAGGGUGCGUAGGCGGUUUGGCAAGUCUUGUGUGAAAUCUCUGGGCUCAACCCAGAGUCUGCACGGGAAACUGUCGGGCUAGAGGAUGGGAGAGGUGAGUGGAAUUUCCGGUGUAGCGGUGAAAUGCGUAGAUAUCGGAAGGAACACCUGUGGCGAAAGCGGCUCACUGGACCAUUUCUGACGCUGAUGCACGAAAGCUAGGGGAGCAAAUGGGAUUAGAUACCCCAGUAGUCCCUGUCUCUUAUAC
RNAcentral lists this ribosomal RNA (301 nucleotides) under uncultured bacterium. RNAcentral describes it as "partial 16S ribosomal RNA". It matches the Rfam family "Bacterial small subunit ribosomal RNA", at positions 509 to 807 of the family's 1533-position model. The record is from RNAcentral.